CAGCAUAUCAAUAAGCGGAGGAAAAGAAACCAACAGGGAUUGCCCUAGUAACGGCGAGUGAAGCGGCAACAGCUCAAAUUUGAAAUCUGGCUUCGGCCCGAGUUGUAAUUUGCAGAGGAAGCUUUGGGCGCGGCACCGACUGAGUCCCCUGGAACGGGGCGCCAUAGAGGGUGAGAGCCCCGUAUAGUCGGACGCUAAGCCUGUGUAAAGCUCCUUCGACGAGUCGAGUAGUUUGGGAAUGCUGCUCAAAAUGGGAGGUAAAUUUCUUCUAAAGCUAAAUACCGGCCAGAGACCGAUAGCGCACAAGUAGAGUGAUCGAAAGAUGAAAAGCACUUUGAAAAGAGGGUUAAAUAGCACGUGAAAUUGUUGAAAGGGAAGCGCUUGUGACCAGACUUGCGCCUGGCUGAUCAUCCGGUGUUCUCACCGGUGCACUCUGCCAGGCUCAGGCCAGCAUCGGUUCUCGCGGGGGGAUAAAGGCCCUGGGAACGUAGCUCCUCCGGGAGUGUUAUAGCCCAGGGUGCAAUGCCCUCGCGGGGACCGAGGUUCGCGCAUCUGCAAGGAUGCUGGCGUAAUGGUCAUCAGCGACCCGUCUUGAAACACGGACCAAGGAGUCAAGGUUUUGCGCGAGUGUUUGGGUGUAAAACCCGCACGCGUAAUGAAAGUGAACGUAGGUGAGAGCUUCGGCGCAUCAUCGACCGAUCCUGAUGUUUUCGGAUGGAUUUGAGUAGGAGCGUUAAGCCUUGGACCCGAAAGAUGGUGAACUAUGCUUGGAUAGGGUGAAGCCAGAGGAAACUCUGGUGGAGGCUCGCAGCGGUUCUGACGUGCAAAUCGAUCGUCAAAUCUGAGCAUGGGGGCGAAAGACUAAUCUAACCAUCUAGUAGCUGGUUACCGCC
This 893-nucleotide ribosomal RNA is filed under the name Humicola fuscoatra var. fuscoatra. RNAcentral describes it as "LSU rRNA". It matches the Rfam family "Eukaryotic large subunit ribosomal RNA", at positions 36 to 962 of the family's 3401-position model. The record is from RNAcentral. Lineage: Eukaryota; Fungi; Ascomycota; Sordariomycetes; Sordariales; Chaetomiaceae.